AAGGAGUUCAAGCAAAACAAGAGUUACAAGGAAAAACAAAGAAAAUCUUAAAGGUUACCUAGAGGACUACACUUUAGCAGCCUAAACAUCCCACGACUAUUCAGUCGCCAUACCUUCAGCAGCCGCGACGCUCUUAGCAGCAGCAUUAUCCAGCGCUUCAUCCCCGGCUGCCCCAGCUUGGGCACCAACUUCCCUAACUACUUCACCAAUGGAAGCGUCAAAAGUAAAAGCAAGCAGGACUUCCGAAGAAAUAGAGAAGGUCUCGAAACCUCGAGCCCAUCCUUUUCACCAUUCGGUUGCUUAUUCUCCUCAAGUAGACCAACAAGGAUGCGUUGCAGCUCAUCCACUUCCUUCUUCAGACUUUCGUUAAUCUUCAGU
This 378-nucleotide long non-coding RNA is filed under the name Malus domestica (apple). RNAcentral describes it as "long non-coding RNA (MDOM_LNC005493)". Lineage: Eukaryota; Viridiplantae; Streptophyta; Magnoliopsida; Rosales; Rosaceae. The record is from RNAcentral.